Molecule: ribosomal RNA, 645 nt
Filed under: Triticum aestivum (bread wheat)
Lineage: Eukaryota; Viridiplantae; Streptophyta; Magnoliopsida; Poales; Poaceae
Description: partial small subunit ribosomal RNA
Source: RNAcentral
AUGUGGGCAAUUUGGCGAGCACGAAGGAAAGCGAUCUAUGAGGACAUCUUCCAAUCACCGCAAUCUACUUAUGGAUUUAUCACAAGCUUUCUUGAUGACUUGAGAUAUAUUAAGACAAGUGAACCUCGGAGGACCGUAGUCAAAGCUGCAAGACCAACCCAGUGGCAGGCUCCGGCCACGGGAUGCGUGAAGAUCAAUGUGGACGCGGCCGCACCAAGGCAAGCCCGUUUCGGGGCUGUGGGUGCAAUCUGCAGAAGUUCAGAUGGUCUGUUUUUGGGAGCUUCGGCGCUGAUCAUAGAGCAUAUUGGGGACCCGGAAACGCUGGAGGCCAUGGCGAUCAGAGAAGGCCUUGCACUUGCGGAGGACUUGUACCAAAGGCGCAUUCAUGUUGCAUCGGAUUGCAAGAAGGCAGUAGACUCUCUGAAAAAGGAGGACGCAUCUCCAUAUGGUGCUAUUGUGCAUGAAAUAUUAAGCCAUUCUGCAACUUUUGAUAUGUGUAGGUUUAGCCAUGAGUUUAGGAGCUCAAAUUAUGAAGCUCACAACUUAGCGAAGCAUGCUUUAUCUCUCGGGGGUGGCCGCCGUGUAUGGUUAGGCCAUCCCGGAGAUCUUUCUUUCGUCCCUGUAAACAUUGUGACGAAUCAAUAA